Molecule: long non-coding RNA, 413 nt
Filed under: Physcomitrium patens
Lineage: Eukaryota; Viridiplantae; Streptophyta; Bryopsida; Funariales; Funariaceae
Description: long non-coding RNA (PPAT_LNC001126)
Source: RNAcentral
GGAAGACGACUGCAACGCCAAAUAUUCAAGCAAUGAUGUAUGGCAAAGUGAACCGAUCUAGCGAGGGGAGAGGAAGAAUCAAAACAGCAAGAAAAAGUUUUGUGUUGUGAAGAUCGUGUUCAGUGAAAAGGGGAAAAUAACAUCUGGAGAAGGAUUCCAGCAACUACUCAGCGAUAACAUAGCAAGUUAAGCAUUCCAUUAAAAUGUGAAUAGUGUGUAAAGAGAAGUGCAGAAAGCAAUGUGCGAUCGAAGUUGAGUCAGGAUGUGAUGAAGAAAUGUGUACAUGGUACAAAAGAGCUAACAUCGAUGACAAAGAGAGUGUUACAAAAAUAGGAUGAAAACAUUAAAGCAGGAUGGACAUCAUUUGUUGCUAACAAAAAGUGCAGAAAGCCAAGGAGAGGAGAGGGCACUUU